CACUGAGUCAUCUCACUAGCCUAUACCAUAUCUUCUACUUCCCCAAAGUUAUUUCUUAUGGGGCAGUGGGCCGUGCCAGGAAACUUGGUAAGGUAGAGCCGGUCUGAGAUCCCUGCACCCAGGUACCCACCUGAGAAGGUAGGCGCUCCUUGCUCCCUCCUAGAGUCCUGGCCCGCAACACGUGACCACACUCCCCAUGUUGGUCGUGUAGCCCAGAACAGAGUUCUCCAUGCUCAUGAGGUACCUAGAGGCCCUAAGGGUUUAACCAAUAAGCUUCCCUUCCCAGACAUUCCUCCCUGUAAAAGGUAUUUAUUAUCUGGUCCACCCCGAGGAGUUGGCAUCAUCCAUUUCCAUGGUGAACAGUUGAUAAAUGAUAUGGAUAAACAAGGACUGUCUCUUUCAUCAGGAACCACCAUGGGGAGUAUAGAGAAGGCCUUUGCUUACAGAGCCACAGUGACAGAAGGCUACUCUGCACUCCCGGACAACUGCUACCAAGCUGAGGACGAUCAAUCACCAAAGAGCUAAGCCGGAGCUCCCAUUUCCCCAGCCCCGGGCUCAUCAUCGCCCUCAGCCCAUGGCCCUGAUUCCAUUCCCAACUCUUCAUGAGCCAGUGGCGCCUGGGUGUCCAUGAGUUUGGGAGCACCCCGUCCCGGACUCAUUGCAGGCCUGUGGACCCGAGUGCUUCAUUCCCAACUUCUCUGUAUGGGUUUUCCGGCCCCAACUGGAUGCCUGGGUGUCAGGGAACCCAGCUUCGGCCUCCCACAUCUUAGGCUGUGUUUUCUUACCCCCUGAGUGGUGUCUAGGCGCUUCCCUAAUGCCUAGCAUCUGAGGCAGCAGCGCAGGGUAAAUGCAGUCUAGUAUGCUUCUUGAGUUUACCUCCCCAGUGGUGCCACCCAGCACCCAAGCAGUGGGGCAGAGCACAGACCCACGUCUGGCACUUCCGCAUUCUGCCUGCCCAAGCAGAGUAUCCCACACCCCAGUGGCGGGGCGGAUGUGGACCCACAAUUUCUCACUCUGUGAAUGUCUUUUUCUGCAUAUAAUCAUCAUGAAUGUAUGCAUGUGAAUGUGUACGCACAUACAUGUGGAGGCUGAAGGACAAUCUGGUGUGGCUGCUUGUAUUGCGAAUGCUAAUUAUGUUCCCCAUAAAACUGCAAGGAGCUUCUGGGAACCUGCCCCCAGUUGGUUCUGAUUGGUAAAUAGAGAUGCCAGCAGUCAAUAGCUAGGAAGGACAGACAGAGGCGGGAUUUUAGGACCCUGCCCCCUCUUGGGACCGGAAGCAGAGAGGAGAAGGAGGAGAUCCAUCAGGUUGGAAGAGUGUGGAGUGACGCCAUGCUUGAGAAGAGAGCAGGACAAAAGAGCACGGCCCUGAGGGUUGCCCAACAGGGUCUAGAGCGGCCAAGAUAGAACAUAGAAUUCAGUAAGUAGAAACUUGGCAUUUCUGCCGGGAGGUAGAUUCUAACAGCAUGGAGGUUAGGCAGUGGCCCAGCUCUUGUGCCAUUUAAGGCAUAUUAACAUAUAAAGGCUGAGUGUGCGUCUUUGGUCUUUCGUUUGGGAACAUUAACCAUUGGGGAUUGGGGCGAGCAAAACCCGGCCACCAGGAUUAAUAUUUAACGUUACAAUGUGGAGUGUCAGCCUCAGGAUCAUCACCCUCUCAUUUGAUUCAGGGUCUCUGAUGGGCCUAGAGCUCCCCAGUUAGGCUAAACUGACUGCUAGUGAGACCCUGGAGCCUCCUUUCUCCACGUCCCCAGUGUUGGGAUUACAAGCAUGUGUGAGGCCGUUCCCCCUCUCCCUUCUUUAUGGCCGUUUUACUGAGGUGGGGAGGAGGGGAGUUCAGGCUACUGUUUCCCAUUGGAGACCUUCUGGCGAGCUUUCUACCCGCUUCAGCAUAUCUCGUGCUUUCCCUUCUGUCUCACUGAUCUGCAGAGCGGCAGAGCACCUUGGCUGAACUGUCUUUGAGGACUUUCAUUGGGGCUCCAGCUGAGCACAUCACAAGGUCGAAGUUCACCAGUGACGUCAGUGUCAGUCAGUGUCACGGGGCACCGGUCACCAGCCGUUUGGUGUCUGUGGUCCCAAAGGCUCUGGUGUUUGAAUCCUUGGGCACCAAUUGGUUGUUGGAGGAAGUACAUCACUGAGGGUGGGGCUUGGGAGUUUCUAGCCUUCCCUCAUUUCCGGUCUGUUUUCUCUGCUUCAUGCUUGCAUUUGUGGGUAUAAGCAUGUAGCUUCUAGCUCCUGCCAUUAUGCCUGCAGCUCCCGGCCAUGCCUCCUGCCACAAUGGUUUUAACCCUGUGGAACCAUGGGCUCAAUUUUAAAUCUUUCCAAUCUAGAGUUACCUUGGUCAUGGUGGUUUAUUACAGCCAUGGGGAAGGAGUAGUUUCUAUCCCAUUUCCUGUCUCUCAGGAGCCAGGAGAAGAGGGACCUGAACAAGAGAGAGAGAAAGAGAGGAGAGGCUGUGGAGAUCUCGAGGACAGAUUCAGCUAGCCAUGACAUGCUGUCUGUGUUGUGGUAGUAAUGUUCUGAAAAUAAUCGUUUUUGUUGUUGAUAAAGCCUUCUGUAAAAUUUCAUGCUGAAGAUCCCAGGAGUGAGCAUCCAGUUCCCCUCAUAGUAGUAGAGAGAUGCCUCGAAACACACACACACACACACACACACACACACACACACACUCGUGCCAGCAAACCACUCUGGGAAGCCUUUUUUGAUAAUCUAAAAUAUCUUUUAACCAGUUUAAAAAAAGUGAGCCUUUGGGUUCAUCUUUUGAAAAACAAUCGAUUUUAUAUUUAAGCUCGUCUCUGUGUGCGAGCCCAGUAGGCCUUGUGUCCAUUCCCUGGUUAUGCCAUGGUUGGAUUCUAAAUGGUACAUACACUUCACCAGACUUGAAAACUGGUGUCACUCACUCAGGGGUCCUCCGGACUGACCUCCAAUCAGCUCCCUUCAUUUUGGAGACAGUAUUCCCCACUGGUGACUUGUAUCGGUACUUCUUUCUCUUAUCCAGUUCCCCAUAGGCGCAUGCAAAUCAUGUUGGAUUUGACCUAGUAGCCACAUUCUAAUUUGCUGGCGUGAUGUGGUACGUAACUCAGAUGGACUUUAAGACUCAUCAGAAGGCCUUGCUGUGCAAUUGGAAGUCAGACUGUCCUUUAUGGAUGGCCUCGUGCAUGGCUGAUCUAAAAUGUGCUCCCACCCAUCGGAAAUCCUCAUACUAUUUUCCUUUCAUUAGAGGAGAAAAACAGAAUUCAGCUGGACAUACACACUGAAAUGAGAUCCUUAAAUAAACAGUCCGGGGCUUAAUAAUUUAUGGGAAGAUGCAAGGGGAAAUGAGGAAAAGAAUAGAAUCAGAGUAGACAAACACCACGUCCCUUUGAACUGUCCCACACGAAUCAUCAGAACUGUGUGUCUCCAAUGUACAGGGCUAUUAAUGAGGUGGAAGGCGUUGGGGGUGGAUAAAUAAUAUAUCACACGGAAUCCACAUCUUCUGUGGACACCGGAGACCGCUGACACCUAUCAAUUUGUCUUACACCAGGUGCUAUGAAUUCACUCUGCUUGCAGCUUGUCAAUCUCUGCUUUAGGCUUAAUAAAUGUUGUGAUUUGCUGUGUGUGCUUUUUAAAAAAGUAUUGUGGUGAAAUGCAAAAGUAAUUACAAAAAAAAAAAAAAAAUCAGCCAGACCGGUGCUGCUGGUGUGGAGGCAGCCUGCGCAGUGAUGUAACUCCUCAUACAUCAUUUCCACAGCUCUCAACCUCACAGUUUAGGGAAAGAAAAAGACCGUCGGGAAACUUCCCGUUAAAAGACUCUACACACUGAUUAGGGUAUCCGUGGUUGUAGAUAGGAAAACAUUAUCAUUGUUCCCGUGAGGAAGUUAUGGGGAGGGAUAGGAAACAGAGAGUCAGGAAGUAGGUGACAGGAAGUUAGAUAUCCACCCAAACAGCAAAACCGGGUUAUAUAGAGCU
RNAcentral lists this long non-coding RNA (3939 nucleotides) under Mus musculus (house mouse). Its description in RNAcentral is "long non-coding RNA chr2:169004736-169008675". The record is from RNAcentral. Lineage: Eukaryota; Metazoa; Chordata; Mammalia; Rodentia; Muridae.